This 262-nucleotide small RNA is filed under the name Tannerella forsythia KS16. Its description in RNAcentral is "Acido-Lenti-1 RNA". The record is from RNAcentral. Lineage: Bacteria; Pseudomonadati; Bacteroidota; Bacteroidia; Bacteroidales; Tannerellaceae.
AACAAUUAACAACUGACAAUUAACAAUUGAAUUACGUCAGGCUUUCAGCCCUCCCAACGGGGAUAUUGCUUUUUCCCCAACGCUUCGCAUUGGGCUGAAUUAUUACGCCCUUUCAGGACUUUUACAGCAUUCAGUUCUCAGCAAUCAGCCUUGCAUUCCCCCCCUUUGAAGGGGGAAAAAGGGGAGAUGAAGCAUUGGGUUUGUUUAUUGAAUGGAUUGUAAUACCUUUGCCAUCGAGUAUAAAUAUUAAUGAUAGGAGAUU